GAAGUGUGAAAAUCUGGCUGUGAAAUUUGUCACCUCCAUGAGGGCCACAUACGGUUGAUUGAGCUCAUCAGCCUGGCUGUGCAGGUGGCUUUUUCCUCUCCAAACACUCCAUGUUCCUUCCUUCCAAGAUGCACACAUUUAGAGCAUGAUCUUCCAGAUAAAAGAGGACCAGUCUGUAAUCAAGGGUUUAUAAGCAGCUGGAAAUUCUAUAUCACCUUGCAAGGUCUGUUUGUAGAAGAACCGGGGUAGCAUUCAAGACACUGGAUACAUCCAAACGAAGAACUGCAUGUGGCAGUCUGCUUUUCAUU
RNAcentral lists this small nuclear RNA (308 nucleotides) under Microtus ochrogaster (prairie vole). RNAcentral describes it as "7SK RNA (ENSMOCG00000005303.1)". It matches the Rfam family "7SK RNA". From Rfam's summary of the family: 7SK was discovered as an abundant small nuclear RNA in the mid-70s but a possible function has only recently been suggested. Two independent studies have found that 7SK RNA binds the CDK9/cyclin T complex (known as elongation factor P-TEFb). Lineage: Eukaryota; Metazoa; Chordata; Mammalia; Rodentia; Cricetidae. The record is from RNAcentral.